RNAcentral lists this ribosomal RNA (461 nucleotides) under uncultured bacterium. RNAcentral describes it as "SSU rRNA". It matches the Rfam family "Bacterial small subunit ribosomal RNA", at positions 26 to 518 of the family's 1533-position model. The record is from RNAcentral.
AGAAUCAACGCUGGCGGCGUGCCUAACACAUGCAAGUCGAACGAGAAAGUGGGAGCAAUCCCACGAGUAAAGUGGCGCACGGGUGAGUAACACGUGACUAACCUACCCUUGAGUGGGGGAUAACCUAGGGAAACCUGGGCUAAUACCGCAUAAUACCUACGGGUCAAAGGAGCAAUUCGCUUUAGGAGGGGGUCGCGGCAGAUUAGUUAGUUGGCGGGGUAAUGGCCCACCAAGACAGUGAUCUGUAUCCGGCCUGAGAGGGCGCACGGACACACUGGAACUGAAACACGGUCCAGACUCCUACGGGAGGCAGCAGUGGGGAAUUUUGCGCAAUGGGGGAAACCCUGACGCAGCAACGCCGCGUGGAGGAUGAAGCCCCUUGGGGCGUAAACUCCUUUCGAUCGGGAAGAUAAUGACGGUACCGGAAGAAGAAGCCCGGCUAACUUCGUGCCAGCAGCCGC